RNAcentral lists this ribosomal RNA (680 nucleotides) under Vibrio sp. a242. Its description in RNAcentral is "bacterial SSU rRNA". It matches the Rfam family "Bacterial small subunit ribosomal RNA", at positions 311 to 984 of the family's 1533-position model. Lineage: Bacteria; Pseudomonadati; Pseudomonadota; Gammaproteobacteria; Vibrionales; Vibrionaceae. The record is from RNAcentral.
CACUGGACUGAGACACGGUCCAGACUCCUACGGGAGGCAGCAGUGGGGAAUAUUGCACAAUGGGCGCAAGCCUGAUGCAGCCAUGCCGCGUGUGUGAAGAAGGCCUUCGGGUUGUAAAGCACUUUCAGUCGUGAGGAAGGUAGUGUAGUUAAUAGCUGCAUUAUUUGACGUUAGCGACAGAAGAAGCACCGGCUAACUCCGUGCCAGCAGCCGCGGUAAUACGGAGGGUGCGAGCGUUAAUCGGAAUUACUGGGCGUAAAGCGCAUGCAGGUGGUUUGUUAAGUCAGAUGUGAAAGCCCGGGGCUCAACCUCGGAAUWGCAUUUGAAACUGGCAGACUAGAGUACUGUAGAGGGGGGUAGAAUUUCAGGUGUAGCGGUGAAAUGCGUAGAGAUCUGAAGGAAUACCGGUGGCGAAGGCGGCCCCCUGGACAGAUACUGACACUCAGAUGCGAAAGCGUGGGGAGCAAACAGGAUUAGAUACCCUGGUAGUCCACGCCGUAAACGAUGUCUACUUGGAGGUUGUGGCCUUGAGCCGUGGCUUUCGGAGCUAACGCGUUAAGUAGACCGCCUGGGGAGUACGGUCGCAAGAUUAAAACUCAAAUGAAUUGACGGGGGCCCGCACAAGCGGUGGAGCAUGUGGUUUAAUUCGAUGCAACGCGAAGAACCUUACCUACUCUUGA